ACGAACGCUGGCGGCGUGCUUAACACCUGCAAGUCGCACGGAAAGGCCCUGCUUUUGUGGGGUGCUCGAGUGGCGAACGGGUGAGUAACACGUUAGUAACCUGCCCUUGACUUUGGGAUAACUUCAGGAAACUGGGGCUAAUACCGGAUAGGAGCUCCUGCUGCAUGGUGGGGGUUGGAGAGUUUCGGCGGUUGGGGAUGGACUCGCGGCUUAUCAGCUUGUUGGUGGGGUAGUGGCUUACCAAGGCUUUGACGGGUAGCCGGCCUGAGAGGGUGACCGGCCACAUUGGGACUGAGAUACGGCCCAGACUCCUACGGGAGGCAGCAGUGGGGAAUAUUGCACAAUGGGCGGAAGCCUGAUGCAGCAACGCCGCGUGCGGGAUGACGGCCUUCGGGUUGUAAACCGCUUUCGCCUGUGACGAAGCGUGAGUGACGGUAAUGGGUAAAGAAGCACCGGCUAACUACGUG
RNAcentral lists this ribosomal RNA (467 nucleotides) under uncultured bacterium. RNAcentral's name for it is "partial 16S ribosomal RNA". It matches the Rfam family "Bacterial small subunit ribosomal RNA", at positions 29 to 507 of the family's 1533-position model. The record is from RNAcentral.